UACGUAGGGUCCGAGCGUUUGUCCGGAUUUAUUGGGCGUAAAGAGCUCGUAGGUGGUUUGUCGCGUUGUUCGUGAAAACUCACAGCUCAACUGUGGGCGUGCGGGCGAUACGGGCAGACUAGAGUACUGCAGGGGAGACUGGAAUUCCUGGUGUAGCGGUGGAAUGCGCAGAUAUCAGGAGGGAACACCGGUGGCGAAGGCGGGUCUCUGGGCAGUAACUGACGCUGGAGGAGCGAAAGCCGUGGGGAGCGAACAGG
This 257-nucleotide ribosomal RNA is filed under the name uncultured bacterium. RNAcentral's name for it is "partial 16S ribosomal RNA". It matches the Rfam family "Bacterial small subunit ribosomal RNA", at positions 524 to 776 of the family's 1533-position model. The record is from RNAcentral.